This 863-nucleotide long non-coding RNA is filed under the name Strigops habroptila (Kakapo). RNAcentral's name for it is "lncRNA (ENSSHBG00005001560.1)". Lineage: Eukaryota; Metazoa; Chordata; Aves; Psittaciformes; Psittacidae. The record is from RNAcentral.
CAGAGACAGACACAGCACACUGCUUUGUAAUAUGCAACUGGAGAUGCUUACCUAAACGUUCACAGGGAAACACUUGCAUCUUUUAGUUGGAUGUUUGAUCAAAACAAAGACAAAUACUCCGUUUACAGCAUUUCAGAUGCUCUUCUGGGAAAACAUCUAUGUGGAUGCAGAAACGCUUUGCCCAGCCUUGAAGUCCAGGUUGCUCUUAGGUGGUUUUCAUCCCUGAAGACCUUGCAUUGUACAGAACUCCGUAUUGCAGUGCCCCAUCAGAAAACGUCUUCAGAAGAAGCCUUUGGACUUCACCUUCAGAAAGGCAGAUUUCCACUUUAGAGUUCAUGUCCUCCUCCUUCCCGUGAAAAUAAUAUGAACCAGAAGGUGUUAAUUUUCCUUCUCCCAAAUUUUAUUUUUGGGAUAUUUCUUUUUGGCUUUUUUUGUAAGAGGCAAAAAAACCUAACAGGUGAGUAAAGAAUUUACCAACAAGAAGACUGAAUGUAUUCUAGAACCAGGGGUACCUUUCCCAAACAUUUUAGAAAGUAACUAUGGAGCCUAAGUGGUAAACAAUGUUGUGAAAACAUCCAAGGCCCUGCCACUGUGAUAGCUAGCUUAGCAGUAUAUGAGAGGAAGAGCACUACAAAGGGCCAGUUGACAUUAGAAGUGUCAGAACAUCAAUUUUGCUUAAAGUAACACUGCUAACAUGUUGAAAGUUUUCAUUUUAACAGACUUUUCGCUAAGCAGGAUAGUUUACUGUGUGUUUGCCAUGGUGGAGUCUGGUGACAGUAAACAAAAAAUGGAUUUUAGCAUCUUCAUUAGUUUUUGUAUGCAGGAUGAUAGAAUGAGUGCUAUGAUUGUCACAAAGAGAUUUA